RNAcentral lists this transfer RNA (72 nucleotides) under Camelus bactrianus (Bactrian camel). It matches the Rfam family "tRNA". Rfam says of the family: Transfer RNA (tRNA) molecules are approximately 80 nucleotides in length. Their secondary structure includes four short double-helical elements and three loops (D, anti-codon, and T loops). Further hydrogen bonds mediate the characteristic L-shaped molecular structure. tRNAs have two regions of fundamental functional importance: the anti-codon, which is responsible for specific mRNA codon recognition, and the 3' end, to which the tRNAs corresponding amino acid is attached (by aminoacyl-tRNA synthetases). tRNAs cope with the degeneracy of the genetic code in two manners: having more than one tRNA (with a specific anti-codon) for a particular amino acid; and 'wobble' base-pairing, i.e. permitting non-standard base-pairing at the 3rd anti-codon position. Lineage: Eukaryota; Metazoa; Chordata; Mammalia; Artiodactyla; Camelidae. RNAcentral also lists the same sequence under 2 other names. The record is from Rfam by way of RNAcentral.
GUGGGGAGAGCUCAGUGGUAGAGUGAGUGUUCAGCAUGCACAAGGUCCUGGGUUCAAUCCCCAGUGCCUCUA